GGGGCCGUAGCUCAGUUUGGCAGAGCAAGCGGGUUUGGCAUUCGCGAGGUCAGGGGUUCGAAUCCCCUCGGCUCCACCA
RNAcentral lists this transfer RNA (79 nucleotides) under Gammaproteobacteria bacterium. RNAcentral's name for it is "tRNA-Ala". It matches the Rfam family "tRNA". From Rfam's summary of the family: Transfer RNA (tRNA) molecules are approximately 80 nucleotides in length. Their secondary structure includes four short double-helical elements and three loops (D, anti-codon, and T loops). Further hydrogen bonds mediate the characteristic L-shaped molecular structure. tRNAs have two regions of fundamental functional importance: the anti-codon, which is responsible for specific mRNA codon recognition, and the 3' end, to which the tRNAs corresponding amino acid is attached (by aminoacyl-tRNA synthetases). tRNAs cope with the degeneracy of the genetic code in two manners: having more than one tRNA (with a specific anti-codon) for a particular amino acid; and 'wobble' base-pairing, i.e. permitting non-standard base-pairing at the 3rd anti-codon position. Lineage: Bacteria; Pseudomonadati; Pseudomonadota; Gammaproteobacteria. The record is from RNAcentral.